CUCGUAGGUGGCCAACUAAGUCAGACGUGAAAUCCCCAGGCUCAACUUGGGAACUGCGUCUGAUACUGGAUGGCUUGAAUUCGGGAGAGGGAUGCAGAAUUCCAGGUGUAGCGGUGAAAUGCGUAGAUAUCUGGAAGAACACCGGUGGCGAAGGCGGCUCUCUGGGCCUUACCUGACGCUGAGGAGCGAAAGCGUGGGCAGCGAACA
RNAcentral lists this ribosomal RNA (207 nucleotides) under uncultured bacterium. RNAcentral describes it as "partial 16S ribosomal RNA". It matches the Rfam family "Bacterial small subunit ribosomal RNA", at positions 568 to 774 of the family's 1533-position model. The record is from RNAcentral.